RNAcentral lists this ribosomal RNA (440 nucleotides) under uncultured bacterium. RNAcentral's name for it is "partial 16S ribosomal RNA". It matches the Rfam family "Bacterial small subunit ribosomal RNA", at positions 338 to 795 of the family's 1533-position model. The record is from RNAcentral.
CCUACGGGUGGCAGCAGUGGGGAAUAUUGCACAAUGGGGGGAACCCUGAUGCAGCGACGCCGCGUGAGUGAAGAAGUAUUUCGGUAUGUUAAGCUCUUUCGGACGUGACGAUGAUGACGGUAGCGUCUAAAGCAGCACAGGCAAACUUCGUGCCAGCAGCCGCGGUAAUACGAAGGGUGCGAGCGUUGUUCGGAAUUACUGGGCGUAAAGGGAGUGUAGGCGGAGUUAUAAGGUAGCGGGUAAAUGCCGGGGGUCAACCCCGGAACUGCCAUUAUGACUAGGUACCUAGAGUAGGGGAGAGGAUAGCGGAAUGCGCGGUGUAGAGGUGAAAUGCGUAGAUAUCGGGUAGAACACCGAUGGCGAAGGCGGCAAUCUGGCCACUUACUGACGCUGAGGCACGAAAGUAUGGGGAUCGAACAGGAUUAGAUACCCGUGUAGUC